AAACUAAACUUCAGCAAAGACCCAUUAGCAAAAUAUGAACGUACUCACUCCCAAGCAACAAAUAUCAUCUGAGCAUCAACAAAAAAAAAGAUAACAGAAAAGCAUGAAGAAUGAAAAUAUACGUGAAAAACAUGGUAACCAAACCUGAAAAUCCCUCCCUCAGCUGGGCGUUUUUAGGCUGCAACCCUCAGAAGAACGGGCUCCUCCCGCAACUCCCUUUCCUGACCCUCCUUUUCUUUCCUCUGUUUGUGUCUUCCUCAGCAAGCCAUCCUCGGCUGCUGCUACACGUCCCAUCUGGUCGCCCCGAGAGUAGCCCACCAUCAGUCCCCUUCAGCCGCCUGAAAGCAGCCCACUUGAG
RNAcentral lists this long non-coding RNA (358 nucleotides) under Vitis vinifera (wine grape). RNAcentral describes it as "long non-coding RNA (VVIN_LNC008052)". Lineage: Eukaryota; Viridiplantae; Streptophyta; Magnoliopsida; Vitales; Vitaceae. The record is from RNAcentral.